AAAUAUGAUCCUAACUGCUGUCUUUGGCAGAGGGAUGCCAAUUAGCAAUGAUCUGCAUUACUGAAAACUGAAGAAACCAGCUUUCGAAGAACCCUUGUCACUAUCUCCACAUAUAUUCCAAUAAUAGAUCCAUUUGCUGCCAGGAGGAUACCUGAUACAUAGUCUGAUUACCAGGAGAUACAAGCGCCUGAUUCUUCACAGCUUGGAAGUGGAUACAGCUAUUUGCAUAGAUUAUUCCUGGUC
This 243-nucleotide long non-coding RNA is filed under the name Apteryx rowi (Okarito brown kiwi). RNAcentral's name for it is "lncRNA (ENSARWG00000010357.1)". The record is from RNAcentral. Lineage: Eukaryota; Metazoa; Chordata; Aves; Apterygiformes; Apterygidae.